RNAcentral lists this transfer RNA (77 nucleotides) under Staphylococcus saprophyticus. RNAcentral describes it as "tRNA-Ile". It matches the Rfam family "tRNA". From Rfam's summary of the family: Transfer RNA (tRNA) molecules are approximately 80 nucleotides in length. The record is from RNAcentral. Lineage: Bacteria; Bacillati; Bacillota; Bacilli; Caryophanales; Staphylococcaceae.
GAGCCUAUAGCUCAGCUGGUUAGAGCGCACGCCUGAUAAGCGUGAGGUCGGUGGUUCGAGUCCACUUAGGCCUACCA